CUUCUGUUAAGUGGGAAGAAAGCAUCAUUCCUAAUACGAAUGGUGGAUGAUGGUACCACUAGAGAAAGCACCGGCUAAUCUCGUGC
RNAcentral lists this ribosomal RNA (86 nucleotides) under uncultured bacterium. RNAcentral describes it as "partial 16S ribosomal RNA". The record is from RNAcentral.